UGGGGAAUCUUGCGCAAUGGCCGAAAGGCUGACGCAGCGACGCCGCGUGUGGGAGGACGCCUUUCGGGGUGUAAACCACUGUUGCCCGGGACGAACAGCGCUUUUCGAGGCGUCUGACGGUACCGGGUGAGGAAGCACCGGCUAACUCCGUGCCAGCAGCCGCGGUAAUACGGAGGGUGCGAGCGUUGUCCGGAAUCAUUGGGCGUAAAGGGCGCGUAGGUGGCACGAUCAGCGUGCGGUGAAAGCUCGGGGCUCAACCCCGAGUCGGCCGUGCGAACUGAGUCGCUUGAGCACUGUAGAGGCAGGCGGAAUUCCGGGUGUAGCGGUGGAAUGCGUAGAGAUCCGGAAGAACACCGGUGGCGAAGGCGGCCUGCUGGGCAGUAGCUGACACUGAGGCGCGACAGCGUGGGGAGCAAACA
RNAcentral lists this ribosomal RNA (419 nucleotides) under uncultured Gemmatimonas sp. RNAcentral's name for it is "bacterial SSU rRNA". It matches the Rfam family "Bacterial small subunit ribosomal RNA", at positions 355 to 774 of the family's 1533-position model. Lineage: Bacteria; Pseudomonadati; Gemmatimonadota; Gemmatimonadia; Gemmatimonadales; Gemmatimonadaceae. The record is from RNAcentral.